Molecule: RNA transcript, 1122 nt
Organism: Nothoprocta perdicaria
Lineage: Eukaryota; Metazoa; Chordata; Aves; Tinamiformes; Tinamidae
Gene name: roundabout homolog 2-like
Exons: 3
Source: RefSeq, a predicted model, not a curated record
ACACCGGAUAUUAGCAGUAAUUCUGAUAGUAUGGAGUCAUCUGGCCAGUGGACAAGGACAAGGAAAAGAUCUUUUCAAAUCUAUUUUUCCACAGAGUUGCCAGUGUACAAUGAUAGAUAUUUUCUAUAAUUUUCUGGAUGGAUAUCAAUUCCAGUGAAUGAGACUACAAGCCGAUGGUCAACUUUACAUUUACACUGCAGCCUUACUUUGCUUGAAAGGACUCUUACAUCUCUGAUUAUAGAAGACGUUUGAUAUUCAUCAGGAAGUAUUUCCUCAGAAUAUAUAAAUGGGAUGUGUGUGUCUGUUUAURUGUGUAUAUAUAUACAUAUAGGUACAUAUUUGUCCUCCUGAGCUGUGAAAUCAAGGGCACUACAAGGUACAAGGGCAGAUUGUCUUUUAGUCCAUCACUGCAGGCCCAGUAAAGUGGCAGUCUAGUACUGCGGCAAGGCAAGAGAGAACUAAAUUCUGCUGUUUAUCUCCUUGAAUAUCUAGAUAGUCUCACUGUCAUCCCAUUAGAAGCAGAAGAUGAAUGUUAAUUUUAUAUAUUUUGGAGUACUUGUUUUAGGGUGGAUUUUAUCAGUCUGGUAUUCAGACCCUCAGAUUUAUGGGGCACAGUGCCUCUAAAACCUCAACAAGUAAAUGCUAUUUCAAGUACUGACAUUUCUGAAGGCAACAAAGUCUGUUUGCUUGGUGGCAGUCUGUAUGUGCAUUGUUUUAUGAGGAUGUUAUUAUUUCAGGUAAAGCAACUUCAGUUAGCUCUGCAAUUUUGAUCUUGACUUGCUGUGCUAUUAAAAUCUGUAUAUUAAUCCUAGUGGGCUAGUCUUCACUUGCAUUUUACCAGAGCUUGUGUUUGUCAGGCUUACUGUAUUAUGCUCAACUUUGUUUAGAAUCUGUAGGAGUUGAUUACGGGUGAAACAAUCAUCCUCACCUGAGCUGUGGACUAUUGCUCUUUUCCGUCCUGAUCAGACCUGCAUCUGCUCCCCUCUCCCUGUGAGCGAGCAUGCAAGCUGUUGUUUAGUGAAACCAAUUGGUUUUAUUGGAUAUUGCCUUUAAACUUGAUAUGUCAUACUUAAAAAAAAAAAAUUGCAUAAUUCUGAUCUUCACCUGUGUACCUUUUUUACA